GCCUGGGUGGCUCAGUCGGUUGGGCAUCCGACUUUGGCUCGGGUCAUGAUCUCACAGUUCGUGAGUUCAAUCCCCACAUCGGGCU
Molecule: transfer RNA, 85 nt
Filed under: Felis catus (domestic cat)
Lineage: Eukaryota; Metazoa; Chordata; Mammalia; Carnivora; Felidae
Rfam family: tRNA
About the family: Transfer RNA (tRNA) molecules are approximately 80 nucleotides in length. Their secondary structure includes four short double-helical elements and three loops (D, anti-codon, and T loops).
Source: Rfam by way of RNAcentral